Molecule: transfer RNA, 68 nt
Filed under: Marmota monax (woodchuck)
Lineage: Eukaryota; Metazoa; Chordata; Mammalia; Rodentia; Sciuridae
Description: tRNA.Ala
Source: RNAcentral
GGAUUGUGGCUCAGUGGUAGAGCACUUGUCUAGCAUGUGCGAGGUCUUGGCUUCGAUCCUCAGCACCA